This 452-nucleotide ribosomal RNA is filed under the name uncultured bacterium. Its description in RNAcentral is "bacterial SSU rRNA". It matches the Rfam family "Bacterial small subunit ribosomal RNA", at positions 29 to 524 of the family's 1533-position model. The record is from RNAcentral.
AGCGAACGCUGGCGGCAGGCUUAACACAUGCAAGUCGAGCGGGCGUAGCAAUACGUCAGCGGCAGACGGGUGAGUAACGCGUGGGAACGUACCUUUUGGUUCGGAACAACCCAGGGAAACUUGGGCUAAUACCGGAUAAGCCCUUACGGGGAAAGAUUUAUCGCCGAAAGAUCGGCCCGCGUCUGAUUAGCUAGUUGGUGAGGUAACGGCUCACCAAGGCGACGAUCAGUAGCUGGUCUGAGAGGAUGAUCAGCCACAUUGGGACUGAGACACGGCCCAAACUCCUACGGGAGGCAGCAGUGGGGAAUAUUGGACAAUGGGCGCAAGCCUGAUCCAGCCAUGCCGCGUGAGUGAUGAAGGCCCUAGGGUUGUAAAGCUCUUUUGUGCGGGAAGAUAAUGACGGUACCGCAAGAAUAAGCCCCGGCUAACUUCGUGCCAGCAGCCGCCGUAAU